AGCAGCCGCGGUAAUUCCAGCUCCAAUAGCGUAUAUUAAAGUUGUUGCAGUUAAAAGGCUCGUAGUUGAACUUCAGAUCUGGUUGGGUGGUCCGCUUAACGGCGUGUACUGUCUGACUGGGUCUUACCUCUUGGUGAGCCGGUGUGCCCUUUAUUGGUGUGCAUCGGGGAACCAGGACUUUUACCUUGAGAAAAUUAGAGUGUUCAAAGCAGGCCUAUGCCCGAAUACAUUAGCAUGGAAUAAUAAAAUAGGACGUGCGGUUCUAUUUUGUUGGUUUCUAGAGUCGCCGUAAUGAUUAAUAGGGAUAGUUGGGGGCAUUGGUAUUGAGUCGCUAGAGGUGAAAUUCUUGGAUUGACUCAAGACCAACUAUUGCGAAAGCAUUUGCCAAGGAUGUUUUCAUUAAUCAAGAACGAAGGUUAGGGGAUCGAAAACGAUCAGAUACCGUUGUAGUCUUAACAGUAAACUAUGCCGACUAGGGAUCGGACGAUGUUAAUUUUUUAAUGACUCG
This 508-nucleotide ribosomal RNA is filed under the name Entoloma sinuatum. RNAcentral's name for it is "SSU rRNA". It matches the Rfam family "Eukaryotic small subunit ribosomal RNA", at positions 569 to 1078 of the family's 1831-position model. Lineage: Eukaryota; Fungi; Basidiomycota; Agaricomycetes; Agaricales; Entolomataceae. The record is from RNAcentral.